Molecule: ribosomal RNA, 395 nt
Filed under: uncultured bacterium
Lineage: Bacteria
Description: partial 16S ribosomal RNA
Rfam family: Bacterial small subunit ribosomal RNA
Source: RNAcentral
AUACGUAGGGUGCAAGCGUUAAUCGGAAUUACUGGGCGUAAAGCGUGCGCAGGCGGUUUUGUAAGACAGGGGUGAAAUCCCCGGGCUCAACCUGGGAACUGCCAUUGUGACUGCAAGGCUGGAGUGCGGCAGAGGGGGAUGGAAUUCCGCGUGGAGCAGUGAAAUGCGUAGAUAUGCGGAGGAACACCGAUGGCGAAGGCAAUCCCCUGGUCGUGCACUGACGCUCAUGCACGAAAGCGGGGGGAGCAAACAGGAUUAGAUACCCUGGUAGUCCACGCCGUAAACGAUGUCAACUGGUUGUUGGGGAUUUAUUUUCUCAGUGACGAAGCUAACGCGUGAAGUGUACCGCCUGGGGAGUACGGCCGCAAGGUUAAAACUCAAAUGAAUUGACGGGG